GGCCAGAUAUCUCAGUUGGUAGAGCGCCUGACCAGAGAUUCAGGGGGGUCCAGGUUCAAAUCCCGGUCUGGCCC
Saccostrea echinata is the source of this 74-nucleotide non-coding RNA. Lineage: Eukaryota; Metazoa; Mollusca; Bivalvia; Ostreida; Ostreidae. The record is from the annotation of a RefSeq genome assembly.